AAGCAAGCAAGUUUGGCGGUUGUUACUGAAAAUGUGAACAUGCACGUUGCACUGUUGUGCAGUGGACUUUCAGAAUGAAUGGAUAUUUGUCCCAAGGCCAG
Alosa sapidissima (American shad) is the source of this 101-nucleotide long non-coding RNA. RefSeq lists it as uncharacterized. The record is from RefSeq and is a predicted model, not a curated record. The transcript has 3 exons. Lineage: Eukaryota; Metazoa; Chordata; Actinopteri; Clupeiformes; Clupeidae.